GAUGAACGCUGGCGGCGUGCCUAAUACAUGCAAGUCGAGCGAACGGACGAGAAGCUUGCUUCUCUGAUGUUAGCGGCGGACGGGUGAGUAACACGUGGAUAACCUACCUAUAAGUCUGGGAUAACUUCGGGAAACCGGAGCUAAUACCGGAUAAUAUUUUGAACCGCAUGGUUCAAAAGUAAAAGACGGUCUUGCUGUCACUUAUAGAUGGAUCCGCGCUGCAUUAGCUAGUUGGUAAGGUAACGGCUUACCAAGGCAACGAUGCAUAGCCGACCUGAGAGGGUGAUCGGCCACACUGGAACUGAGACACGGUCCAGACUCCUACGGGAGGCAGCAGUAGGGAAUCUUCCGCAAAGGGCGAAAGCCUGACGGAGCAACGCCGCGUGAGUGAUGAAGGUCUUCGGAUCGUAAAACUCUGUUAUUAGGGAAGAACAUAUGUGUAAGUAACUGUGCACAUCUUGACGGUACCUAAUCAGAAAGCCACGGCUAACUACGUG
Molecule: ribosomal RNA, 497 nt
Filed under: uncultured bacterium
Lineage: Bacteria
Description: partial 16S ribosomal RNA
Rfam family: Bacterial small subunit ribosomal RNA
Source: RNAcentral